Molecule: unclassified non-coding RNA, 267 nt
Filed under: Hevea brasiliensis (rubber tree)
Lineage: Eukaryota; Viridiplantae; Streptophyta; Magnoliopsida; Malpighiales; Euphorbiaceae
Source: RNAcentral
AAUGAGUCAAUUCAUAUGUAAGAAUCUUUUUGUAAUUGAUUAUUAUAAUAAGAUUAAUAUUUUUCAGUCACCAUAGAAACUCGUACCAAAUUAAUGAACUAUGAUUUAUGAAUAAGAAAACAGUAAAAUCUGAAAGACGCCUGGAGAAUGUUGAUAUGUAGUAAAUGACCUUCCCCUGACAUGGAAGGGUCUGGAAUGUAUCACCUAGGAUUUGCAUGGGCUGAAUGGCCAUUCAUCCAGCACAACCCACUCUAUAUCAACCAUGUU